AGAUGUUUAAGUAUGUCAAUUAUCAUUUGAGUGCUCUGUAACGAUUAUGUCAAUUGCAACCUAUCUGGAUAUGAGGCUAUGAUUUGCUUAAGGAAAUCAAGGAAUCUUCAUCCUUGAGAUACAUACCAGUGGUGAUUAUGUCAUUUGAGAAUGUGCUUUCAAGGAUUAACAAAUGCUUGGAGGAAGGAGUAGAGGAAUUUUUUCUUGAAGCCUGUGUACAUCCUAUUAUAGAUCAACAGAAACAACACUACAAGCCAAUAAUAACAGGAGGAAGGCCAUGGAAGAGGAGACUUCACCUGUGAGUCUGUGACUGACAGAUCAAGGACCAAGAUACAAAGGGUCUAAAAUUGUAUUAUGAUAACUUUUUUUUUUUUGAAAAUAAAAAAGUUAA
Lotus japonicus is the source of this 391-nucleotide long non-coding RNA. RefSeq lists it as uncharacterized. The record is from RefSeq and is a predicted model, not a curated record. Lineage: Eukaryota; Viridiplantae; Streptophyta; Magnoliopsida; Fabales; Fabaceae. The transcript has 2 exons.